Molecule: non-coding RNA, 751 nt
Organism: Paramisgurnus dabryanus
Lineage: Eukaryota; Metazoa; Chordata; Actinopteri; Cypriniformes; Cobitidae
Source: RefSeq, a predicted model, not a curated record
GCUAAUGUUGGGCCAUGUAAUAUGUAAUACAUUAACGUUUUAAUGAAUAGUCUAACGAGUUAUAGUCGUUGUACUCUAUUGUUAUAAUAUGUCUUUUUGACUGAAUACAUGUUUGUUUUAUUUGCCUAUAUCCUAGAUUCGCAGCUGGACACAUCCUUCUGAACUGUAUGCAAACAUGCAACAUCAUUACACACAGUACAAGGAGUCAGAUUGGCAUAUGAGGAGCAAAGGAACCCAGGCAGUAGCAUCGUUUCACAAUGUUUCCAUCACCAUCAUCAGUGGAUGCCUUUGCCGUCCGUAGCCUGAGAUUUCAGAUUUGCAGCAAAAAAUUUUGAUUUUCUCAUUUAUUGGAAUGCUGUGCAGGUUGUACCUUGCAGCCAUCCAUUACAAUGUCACCAAGCCGUAACAAAAGCAGGAGAGGGAAAGUACAAGGCUAUGUUCCCAAAAACACACAAGUGACAUACCUUAUGUGGAUGAUGGGGUUGUGUUUGAUGAGGUAUUUGAAGAUAAGCUGAAGGAAACCCCGAUUCCAAUGGACCUGGCAUCACAGUUUGAGAGACCUUCAAAGGAGGACGUGAUUGCAUGCCAUCUUCAGUGCAGGGGUCGUCAAAAGCCAAAAUUGUGACCGAUCUGAUCAGGAAGCUCCAAGCAAAUCUGGAGAACAACACACGACAGGAUGAUAACCUUAUAGUGUCGCCUUAAAUAGCACCAGCUGACAAAGCUUUGAUAUGCCAUUUAUCUGAAUAGAUAG